GCUCUGUUCUCUGAAGAUACCAGGGUCCUGUACUGCUGAUCCGGAGAACCAAGGAUGAGAUCAUCACCACCACGUGAGUGCGUGGGAAUCUCGGCCCUCAGGAACCCCAGAGAUGGCCAGGAACUUGUCCCUUCUACCUCUGCCCACCAGAAACCUGGGUAUCUAGACCCUUCCUCCUAACCUCCAGCCCCUCCAGGGUACAUUCUUCUUACCCCCAGGGUUCCUGAGGACAUCAUGUCCAACCGAGGCAAUGACCUCCUGCUGAAGCUCCUGCAGCAUCGGUAUCCCCGGGUGAUGGCAGAGGAGGGUCUUCGAGUGGUGAGGCAGUGGUUGGAGGCCUCCUCACAGCUGGAGGAAGCCUCAAUUUAUAGCCGAUGGGAGGUGGAAGAGGACUGGUGUCUGUCUGUCCUCCGCUCCUACCAGGCAGAACACGGGCCCGACUUCCCCUGGAGCGUGGGGGAGGACAUGAGUGCAGAUGGACGGCGGCAGCUGGCUUUGUUUCUGGUGAGCUAAGGAGUGGGAAGUGGGAAGGGUUCUUGAAUGGCCAGGGCUCACACAGGGGGACUGGGGAUACCCUAUAAGCAUUGGAAGUGGCAGCUUUUGUAGAGUGGGUGG
This 615-nucleotide small RNA is filed under the name Pan troglodytes (chimpanzee). RNAcentral describes it as "retained intron". The record is from RNAcentral. Lineage: Eukaryota; Metazoa; Chordata; Mammalia; Primates; Hominidae.